AGUGAACGCUGGCGGUAGGCCUAACACAUGCAAGUCGAACGGCAGCACAGUAAGAGCUUGCUCUUACGGGUGGCGAGUGGCGGACGGGUGAGGAAUACAUCGGAAUCUACUUUUUCGUGGGGGAUAACGUAGGGAAACUUACGCUAAUACCGCAUACGACCUACGGGUGAAAGCAGGGGAUCUUCGGACCUUGCGCGAUUGAAUGAGCCGAUGUCGGAUUAGCUAGUUGGCGGGGUAAAGGCCCACCAAGGCGACGAUCCGUAGCUGGUCUGAGAGGAUGAACAGCCACAAUUGAACUUAGACACCGUCCCGAGCCCUAAGGGGAGGCGGAGUUGGGAAAUUUUGACAAAGGGGGGAAGCCUUAACCAGGCAAACCUCGUGAGUUGAAAAAGCCUUCCGGUUGGUAAAGCCUUUUUGUUGGGAAAGAAAAGCGGAAGGUUAAACCCCCGCGGUUCGACGGUACCCAAAAGAAAAGCACCGGCUAACUUCGUG
This 492-nucleotide ribosomal RNA is filed under the name uncultured bacterium. RNAcentral describes it as "partial 16S ribosomal RNA". It matches the Rfam family "Bacterial small subunit ribosomal RNA", at positions 29 to 507 of the family's 1533-position model. The record is from RNAcentral.